GACGAACGCUGGCGGCGUGCUUAACACAUGCAAGUCGAACGGAGCGAAUGAAAGCUUGCUUUUAUAAGCUUAGUGGCAAACGGGUGAGUAACACGUAGACAACCUGCCGACAGGAUGGGGACAACAUUCCGAAAGGAAUGCUAAUACCGAAUGAAGCGGAGGAGAGGCAUCUCUCCUCCGUGAAAGAUGGCCUCUAUAUAUAAGCUAUCACCUGUCGAUGGGUCUGCGUCUGAUUAGCUGGUAGGUGAGGUAACGGCUCACCUAGGCGACGAUCAGUAGCCGGUCUGAGAGGAUGAACGGCCACAUUGGGACUGAGACACGGCCCAGACUCCUACGGGAGGCAGCAGUGGGGAAUCUUCCGCAAUGGGCGCAAGCCUGACGGAGCAACGCCGCGUGAGUGAAGAAGGUCUUCGGAUCGUAAAGCUCUGUUGAUGGGGACGAACGUGCCUAAUGCGAAUAGUUUUAGGC
Molecule: ribosomal RNA, 468 nt
Filed under: Centipeda noxia
Lineage: Bacteria; Bacillati; Bacillota; Negativicutes; Selenomonadales; Selenomonadaceae
Description: bacterial SSU rRNA
Rfam family: Bacterial small subunit ribosomal RNA
Source: RNAcentral